Molecule: long non-coding RNA, 1186 nt
Filed under: Oryctolagus cuniculus (rabbit)
Lineage: Eukaryota; Metazoa; Chordata; Mammalia; Lagomorpha; Leporidae
Description: lncRNA (ENSOCUG00000037010.1)
Source: RNAcentral
AAAGAUCUCUGUGAAUGAGAUCCCAGCAGAAAUAACAGGCCAUCAAAGAAGGCGGUACCUUUCUCUGAAGGGAGGAGAGAACUUCCACUUUGACUAUGGCCUUCUCUAAAUAUGAUCAGAGUCAGUGAACUCAAGAGGCUUCCAUAGCCUUGGCAGCUCAUGACAAGAACCUCGGGUGAUUACUGACACCAUAAACAAGAGUGUGAAUUGUUAAAUCAACAACAGGAGUCACUGUGCACUUACGCCCCAUGUAGGAUCUCUGUCCUUAAUGUGUUGUACUAUGUGAAUUAACGGCAAAACUACUAUUCAAACGGUACUCUAUACUUUGCGUGUCUUUGUGGGUGCAGUCUGUUGAAAUCUUUACUUAGUAUAUACUAAGUUAUCUUAUGUAUAUAAAGAUAAUUGAAAAUGAAUCUAAAUGAAGAAUGGGAUGGGAGUGUGGGAGAUGGGGUAGUUGCAGGUGGGAGGGAGGUUAUGGGGAGAAAAGCCACUAUAAUCAAAAGUUGUACUUUGCAAAUUUAUAUUUAUUAAAUAAAAGUUGAAAAAAUACGAAACAAAACAAAAAGAAUAAAAAAAAAUUAUGAACCAUUAUUCAUCUCCUUUCAUGGAUGUGGAAACUGAGGUUUAGAGUUCUGUCACAUGUUCCAGGCCAGGAAGUCCAUGAGUGGAUUCAAACCUUCCCCAAAGUAACACAAAAAAUAUAUGCACUGACCACAGGACUUUUGAGAAAUUGAGAGAAUGAAUAAUUUAGUGAGUAAAUGAAUAAAUGAAAUGUGGUGUGUGUGUGAGAGAGAGAGAGAGAGAAAGGUGAGAGGGAAGGGGAGACAGAGACAGGUGUUUGUGAUAAAGAAGUCUGACUGGAUUCUCCUUAAUCUCAAUUGGCACAGUGGGUGAGUCACUUAAAACCUUUUGGGAAGAGGGCAUUUUGAGGUAGAAAUAGCAUGGGUCAUUGUCCCCCAGGCCCCAGUAGUCUAAACAGUGUAACCACUGAUUAUCCCAGGACACCCUUGGGUUCUUGUCCCAAAACCCCUCAGGACGUCUCAGACCAAGGCCGAGCAUGCAUGAUGUCAAGAUGACAGCAGAACUCACUCACUCACUCACUCGCCCACUACUCCUCAGCACUUUGCACUGAGACACUUCAGUAGGAAAAAAAAAAAAAAAACUGAGUUUUCAGGCUUCAGCAUUU